This 1016-nucleotide long non-coding RNA is filed under the name Heterocephalus glaber (naked mole-rat). RNAcentral describes it as "lncRNA (ENSHGLG00000049481.1)". Lineage: Eukaryota; Metazoa; Chordata; Mammalia; Rodentia; Bathyergidae. The record is from RNAcentral.
AGGGGAACCGCACAUACAGGGAGGGUGAGAAACCCGGGAUGCCGCUGAAGCCACUGCUCCAGGAUCUGACCCACAGGAAGUGUGCUUUGCCGAUCCGCUAGGCGGCGCACGAGACAAUCAAGUUGACACUUUCCAGGUUCCAUUCGCAUGGCCACCUCCACCAUCAGGAUGCGGUGCAGCCCCUUCCCCUUCUCUCAUACUGUCCCAGUGUCCUCUCCCUGCCUGCCCUCUGCCCUGGGCCUCUCCCUGCUCGCCUGAGCUCCCGCACACAGGUCAGGGAGUGGAGCUCACAGCAGGGACCUGGAGACCAGCCUCGCUCACACAGCACAGCGCCUCUCUGCUGCAGCCCUGUUCCCUGGGUCACCGCGCAUAGUCCUCCCAGAGCCAGCGCAACUGUCCGUGUCCACUGUGGACUCCUGUGUGCUGUUUUUGCGUGUGAGAAAUGUGAAGGAGGCUGCUGGGAGUGUUUAUGCUCAGCUUUGUGUAUGGACCUGUUAUUUCUCUUUCCCGGAACCUGAGAUAAGGGAGUGUUGAUAGGAAAUGGCGAACUUUUCUCAAUAAGCACUGGAUGAGUCUUCUUUUUAGCACUGCAUGAUAUUAGUAUUUGCUCCAAUCCCCACCAGCAUGUGAAAUUUGUUAUCAAUUUCCCUUUUCUGUUUUUGGCCUCAUGAUUGUGCAAUGUUUUCCCAUAAGGUUAUGCUGGAGAUUCCUAAGGACUGACAGUGUGAAAAUCUUAUAAACAUUAAAUGAAUCAUUUUUUAUUUCAGUUCAGAAAAACAGUCCCAGAACUGAGAAGAGUUCAGUGCCUGUGCUUUCAGUUUUCUGGAAAAGUUGACCAUGUUUCCAUGUGCAUGUUGCUCGUGCGCACAUCUUCCUCAGAAGGAUGUGCCUUUAAAUCAAAUGCCUAGUUUUGGACGAUGCAGGGUGGUGAACCUAGAGCCUCAUACCUGCUCCUCCAGUGCCCUACCACUGAGCUAAACCCAGCCUUUGCUCUGUUUAUAAAGAUUGUGUACUGG